This 5442-nucleotide small RNA is filed under the name Rattus norvegicus (Norway rat). RNAcentral's name for it is "uncharacterized LOC102547024". Lineage: Eukaryota; Metazoa; Chordata; Mammalia; Rodentia; Muridae. The record is from RNAcentral.
UCUUGGUCGAGUUUCCCAUAAUUAGUUCUAUGAGUAAGAGGGCCCUGUGCUGUUUUACAUCUAAGUAUCUUUAGUUCAGAGUCAAAGACAAGAGUGUAAUAUUACCAUGCCUACAUAUGCAGCAUGCCCUAGGGAGAACGGAGUGGAAUGCACAGGCCAGUCUGGAUUUAUGAUCCAGGAGUCAGUCUCCAGUUAAUUAAAUUCAAAGAGAGGAAAGUAAUGCUUCAACAAAAUUAUGUCUAAAUCAGGGAGGGGUGGUGGGGAAACCCACCAUACAGAAGUUGGCUUCUCUUCAAGCAUCUGUCCAAUAUACAGCCCUAGGAAAUUGCUUUGUGUAAAGAGAGAGCCCAGUGCAGAAAUGAAGUCAGAGGGGGCACGCCGGUAUGUUUAAAAAAGAAACAAUUCCUUUCAUUUCCUCAGAAAUCAAUGGAAUAUUAUCCUUCCACAAGUAACGGAGCCAGUGGAGGAGAGGAUUCUGGGAGAUGCCGGGAGUCUUUGUCAUCAGUGGAGGAACAAGGGGAAGAAUGUCGACUGUUUCCCUUUUCAAUCUUUGCUCUCCUUCAUGAGGACUGAGGGCUGUCAGAGUCAGCACCUGUGCCUUCUUUGCUUAACCGGGGCAUUGUCUGGACACAUCUCCUGAGCUCUCCUAACCUGUCUGCUUCAGGUGAGGCUUCAGGCGGCAGAGGGAGACCGUCUUCCCCAGGCAGCCAGAAAGAGGCCAUCUUUCCCACUGAGUGAAGCCUGAGCAUAGGAAGCCUCAAAGCCGACCUACAGUGACACACUUCCUUCAACAAGGCCACACCUCCUCCAAUAAGGUCACAUCUCCUAAUAAUGCCACUCCCCAUGGGCCAAGCAUUCAAACACUUGAGUGUAUAGAGGCCAAACCUAUUCAGGCCACCACAUACAUGUAUGCAAUACAUUGUGAUUACUCUCACCUCCCCAACAUCUCUUGUUUCCCUUACCUCCAUCAGUUUCUCCUCCUCCCUAACAACUCCAUUUCUUAUACAUGCCUUUUGUUAUUUUUGGUGAACCACUGAGUUUAACCAGACCCAUCUAUGUGACUGUGACUGUUGAACCGUCCAUUGGAGCCUGGUGAGUUCACACAACUGAAGACAACAAAUGCCAUACCCCAGAACACACCAGGAACCAUUAGUUCAGGUUCUUUGACUUCUUCCAACCCCACGAGGAACUACUUCCACUUGCCAUUAACGUCAACAUUCCUUUACACCAUGUACAUCUCAGCGUCUUUACUCCUCCCUUGAUAUCUUUGUUCCCCUUGAAAAAAAUCAUGUGUUCAAUUUUAAAUGUUAUGUUUUUAUACUUUUUAAUGAAUGUUGUCUUUUAACACUUAAGCUCCCCAGUGGGACGUGGGGUAACAGUUCCCUCAUUUUAUUCCAUCCGUAUAGUUUUAAGAUUACAUGAGUCGACAGGGCUGAUUCUUAAGGGCUUAUUCUUACUUAAGUUUGUGUUCUUAAUACAUUAAAAGAAUAAUUGUCCUCAAGGUCUUUGUAUUAUAAAAUACUAGACUACUUAGUUAUUCCUAUUACUAUUAAUCAUUACUAAUAACACAGGAACCACAACCUGUGACAUCGUCUUGAAAUAGCCAAAGAGUUCACUUUAGGUGGCAUUUGAAGAGCCAAAGGUGCAGAAGUCACAUGCUGAGCAAAUGGGGACAAGAGCAUUGUGCCUUGGUUUCUGAUUCCAGGGAGAACAGAAAGGCUAAAGGAGACUCCAGAAGUUGCCUCUUUCUUUCUAGGUCUUAUGCCACCAGAGAUUUAGAGGUCAAAAGUGCUUUUUCCACACAAGCAUUAUCUUGUCUAAAACACAAUCAACUUGCUACUUGUCCUGGUCUUUGUGCUGGCUAAGAAGACAGACAGAGGCAGGUAGGGAAUAAUAGCAUUUCUAGGAUAUAAAAUCUUACAGAGAAUAUGAAGGUCUGUUCAAACACUUUAAUUACCUACUCCAAUUGGCUAAAUGUGUACUCUGCUUUUAUGUUCAAAACACUUCAGAUAACAAAUACAAAACCCAACUUUAAAAAACAGGAAGCUAAAAUUCCAAAUUGAGGUCACUGUUCAUCUUUCCCUGUACACUCUUCAUUUUCCCUGCUGCUAAAUGAACAGUAAUGAAACAUUGCUAAUUAAUUAGUGAAUCUGAAUUCAUUCACCCCUCACAGUGUGGUGGUAAUAACUCCAAAGAUACCAGUACAAUGCUAUAACUUGCAUAUGAAAUGUAUUCCUUCAGGCUCAAAUGUUUGAAUACUUGGUCUCCAUGUUGGGGGCAGGGGGACGGUUUUGGGUAAUCAUAGAACCUUUGGAGUUGAAGGUAUUGCGUCAUGGAGGAAGAGCUUUAGAGGGUUUCAAUCUGACUCUCCCUUGGGACUGGCUGUGUGAUUUUGCUUGGUGUCAUACCAAGGCUGCUGAUGCCAGAAGCUCUUGCUAUCCUGGGCCCAUGCACUCAGGAAGCUAUGGCUUCUCUGCCAUGGUGGGAUGCUCCCUCUGAAUGGAUAGCCACAUUAUGCUUGCGUCCCUUAAAUUGUUUCAAUUUUUUUCAGUGAUUUCCACAAUUAUAACAAACAUUAGAGAUAAAGCAAACUAAAAAGGGGAAAGGUUUAUUUCAGCUCACAAUUUUGGAGUCUUCAGUCCAUGGUUAGCCUGUUACUUUGUAGCUGUGGUAAAGAGUCAUAUUGUGGGAUCAUGGUAUAGCAAAAUGUUCAACUCAUGGGUGUCAGACAAUUACGGAAAGAGGAGGAAAUAUAUUCUACUCAUGCCUUCAAGUGCAAGAUCCUAUUGACCCAAGACCCCUUACUAGAUCAAAGGUUUUUACUACCAUCCAAUAGAACCAAGUUCAAAAUUCAGCCUUUACUCAUUGAACCUCUAAGCAUAAUAUAAAGGGUCAUAUAAAAGAGAUUAAGUCAAAGAUUCGAGAUGACAGAGUAUCUUUGAUGAAUUUGGCAGGUCCUGACCUUAAUGCACUCACAAAUGACAUUGUGAUGGGGCAUCGGAGAGAGAUCAGACAUAAAGAGGAAAAAGAAAUUGUGAAAACAGACUCUGGUUAGCGUGAUAUGGCCCAAAGCUAAGCAUUUCAGUAGUAACUAAAGAUGGGGGAGACAGAGGAAGCUACUUUCCUACAGAGCAUAUUGGAGAAUGGGAGAUCUACUAGGGCCUUGAUUUGACCCAAGUGAAACAUUCCAUAAUUCUAGUUUUGAGAACAUGAUACAGUUUUUGAAGCCAACUCCUUUCAUGGCUGUUAUAGCAGACAACAAUUAAAUACAGGGCCUUGCAUAGAAAUUUGCUUCUUUUUUCUAAAAGUAAGAGGGUAACUUUUCUGUAUGAUCUGUGUAUGACUGUGUGUGGUCACUUGUGUUGCCAUUAUGGGGUAUUGCAAACUGCAUGGUUAAACCACAGAACUGACUUACAUAUUGGAGGCUAGUAGCUCUAUAUCAAGGUUGGCCACAUUGGUUAUUCUUGUGGUCUCUUUAGUUUGUAGAUAGUUGUCUUGUCUGUGUCUUGACUUCUUUCCCUAAGUACAGCCAUUCUGUUGGUUCACAUGGUUCAGGUCCAUUUGAGAUUAUACCUAAAUUGCUUCUUUUUAACUAUCUUUAAAACACUAGGUUAGGAGACAUUUUGAAUUAAGCUCUGUAAGUAGACUAACCCAGAUUUCUCAGGGAAACUUUUCCUUGACUUCAAAGUGUAUUUGCCUGAGUCACUGAUCUUACUUUAUUCUCUUAUUGUGCCCUGUUAGACGGCGAGUUCUUGGAUACUUUGAAGUUGUAUUUAUUUGGAUGUCAAUGAAAGAUGAAUUUAUUAAUCCUUUAAAGUGCUUGGCAAACAAAUUAAACUUUUGUAUUUAUCCACCAUCAUAUAUCUGAGUAUUAGAACGUGGGUGUAUCACAUUUCUGGCCUACCUCAGGGAUUUACAACUAAGAGUAAACAAACCAUUAUAGAACAUGUUAUUUUUAGAACAGGUGUUCUCAGUGUGUCCCUCUGGGGGCUGGAAUGUUUCAGUUAGUAAAAAUGCUUCUGGUCACAAAUACGUGAGGAUCUGAAGUCGGAUCCUCCGCAUUCAAGAAAAAAACACACUGCUGCAUAUCACAGAUCCAGUUCUGGGGAGAUAAGAUAGGAGGAUGAGUCAGCUGGACAUUGAACCCUUGCAAGUCUGAUGCAAAUGAGUACAAGAAACAGGCAACAGUACAGACAUUUGCAUUUCCUUUCAUCUUGGUUAACCUCUCGCCUUCUUUUCAGAAGUCAGAAUCCAUGGCUGAUUAGUCCUUUCAGAGGAAAAGAGGUUUAAAUAGACAGGGGAAAUGAAAAGACUAUCUUGUAGGAGCAGCAGUUUUAGAAAACAUUUCUGGAGUAAGGACAUAAUGUACUAUAGAACUUUACCUAUGAGAAAGAUUGAAUGAGACCAUCAUACCUGCUUUUCAAAGAAGUGUUAGUUUAAUCAGAUGUGGAGGGUCCCUUUAGGUUUUACAGCAGGCAGGAAAUGAUCCACAAAAAGACAAAAAUGAAACUCAGUUCAGAUUUUUAGGUACUGGUGUUGGGCAAGUACUUUUAAAGUCUGACAUCAGCUCAUAAAUUUUUGUCAUAUGUAAGCAUCUCACAAUUUUCAGGUAACAACUCAGCCUCAUGGGUACAUUAAAACUUAAGACCUCUUUACACCGAAGCUGUUUAUAAAGUAAAUAUGGCGUUGUCUGUAUUUUUUGUUGUUGACUUCCAAAGAAUGCUUGAGAUAAGGGUCUAGGGAGAAUGACUGAGGAAAAUGCAAUCCCUAUAGGAGUCAGGAUUUAACCUGGUCCUAAGAUAACCUAACACUUUGGCUAUUGAAAGGACAAAUGACAUCUCUCACAAGGAUGAAUUUUAUGGCCUAGAAGUAAUGUUUAAUCAAAGUUUUAGGGGGAAAGGGUCUGGAGAAGUAGAGCAUAAAUUCUGGAAGAUGUGGGCAGAGUCUGUCUUAUCAGAGAGCAGUGGAUCACCAGGUUGUAAACUCCAUCUAUUCCCGGCAUUCCAGGAGAAGGACAAGCUAAACAUUUCUUUCCUUUGAUGAACAUCUGUGAGUUUAACUUUCCUGGCUUCUCCAGUGCUAAUCUAUGUGUACAAGCACUUUUUACCUUCUACAUAAUGACAUGCUAUUAGUUACAUCAUCAGAUGACCAAGACUUAAACAACCCACACUUAGUAAACAUUUAAGACCUAUAAUAAAUAUUUAGUGAACUACAGUAUAAUAGCAAAUAGAAUUAUUUGCUAUGUCGAAACUUAGUGCUUCUUCUUGGAAUAGUAAAAAUAAUGCUCUUGGAAACGCUGUAUGUGCAGUUUUAAAUGUCAAAAGUAAAAAAUAACCAGAAUACACGAAAAAGCAAAUGGAAUACUCACCAAUUAUAUGCAAAGUUUGGGGAGGAAGGACCUAGGUCUUCUAACUUCCCUGGCUUUUUUUUUUUUUUUUUUUU